GAGACCGCGUCCGCCCCACGAACACAGAGCCUCGCCUUCGCCGCUCCACCGCCUGUCCACACCUGCCGCCAGCUCACCAUGGAUGAUGAUAUCGCCAUGCUCGUUGUGGACAACGGCUCCGGCAUGUGCAAGGCCGGCUUCGCGGGCGACGAUGCCCCCCGGGCCGUCUUCCCCUCCAUCGUGGGGCACCCCAGGCACCAGGGCAUGAUGGUGGGCAUGGGUCAGAAGGAUUCAUAUGUUGGGCGACGAGGCCCAGAGCAACAGAGGCAUCCUCACCCUGAAGUACCCCAUCGAGCACAGCAUCGUCACCAACUGGGACAACAUGGAGAAGAUCUGGCACCACACCUUCUACAAUGAGCUGUGUGUGGCUCCUGAGGAGCACCCCAUGCUGCUGACCGAGGCCCGCCUAAACCCCAAGGCCAACCGCGAGAAGAUGACCCAGAUCAUGUUUGAGACCUUCAACACCCCAGCCAUGUACGUGGCCAUCCAGGCUGUGCUGUCCCUGUACGCCUCUGGCCGUACCACUGGCAUCGUGAUGGACUCCGGUGACAGGGUCACCCACACUGUGCCCAUCUAUGAGGGGUAUGCCCUCCCCCACACCAUCCUGUGUCUGGACCUGGCUGGCAGGGACCUGACUACCUCAUGAAGAUCCUCACUGAGCGCAGCUACAGCUUCACCACCAUGGCUGAGUGGGAAAUCAUGCAUGAUAUCAAGGAGAAGCUGUGCUACGUCGCCCUGGACUUCAAGCAGGAGAUGGCCAUAGUGGCUUCCAGCUCCUCCCUGGAGAAGAGCUACGAGCUGCCCGAUGGCCAGGUCAUCACCAUUGGCAACGAGCGGUUCCACUGCCCUGAGGCUCUCUUCCAGCCUUCCUUCCUGGGCAUGGAAUCCUGUGGCAUCCACGAAACUAUCUUCAACUCCAUCAUGAAGUGUGGACAUCGGUAAAGACCUGUACGCCAACACAGUGCUGUCUGGUGGCACCACCAUGUGCCCUGGCAUUGCCAACAGGAUGCAGAAGGAGAUUACUGCCCUGGCGCCCAGCACGAUGAAGAUCAAGAUCAUUGCUCCUCCUGAGUGCAAGUAUUCUGUGUGGAUGGGUGGCUCCAUCCUGGCCUCACUGUCCACCUUCCAGCAGAUGUGGAUCAGCAAGCAGGAGUAUGAUGAGUCUGGCCCCUCCAUCGUCCACCGCAAAUGCUUCUAAGCGGACUGUGACUUAGUUGCGUUACACCCUUUCGUGACAAAACCUAACUUGCACAGAAAACAAGAUGAGAUUGGCAUAGCUUUAUUUGUUUUUUUUUGUUUUGUUUUGUUUUGGUUUUUUUUGGCUUGACUCAGGAUUUAAAAACUGGAACAGUGAAGGUGACAGCAGUCAGUUGGAGCGAGCAUCCCCCAAAGUUCUACAACGUGGCCGAGGACUUUGAUUGUACAUUGUUCUUUCUUUUUUAAUAGUCAUUCCACAUAUGAGAUGCAUUGUUACAGGAAGUCCCCUGCCCUCCUAAAAGCCACCCCACUUCUCUCUAAGGAGAAUGGCCCAGUCCUCUCCCGAGUCCACACAGGGGAGGUGAUAACAUUGCUUUCGUGUAAAUUAUGUAAUGCAAAAUUUUUUUAAUCUUCGCCUUAAUACUUUUUUAUUUUGUUUUAUUUUGAAUGAUGAGCCUUCAUGCCCCCUCUUUUUUGUCCCCCAACUUGAGAUGUCUGAAGGCUUUUGGUCUCCCUGGGAGUGGGUGGAGGCAGCCAGGGCUUACCUGUACACUGACUUGAGACCAGUUGAAUAAAAGUGCACACCUUAAAAAAA
Molecule: non-coding RNA, 1792 nt
Organism: Macaca mulatta (Rhesus monkey)
Lineage: Eukaryota; Metazoa; Chordata; Mammalia; Primates; Cercopithecidae
Source: RefSeq, a predicted model, not a curated record